GACGAACGCUGGCGGCGUGCUUAACACAUGCAAGUCGAACGAAGAGCGAUGGAAGCUUGCUUCUCUCAAUCUUAGUGGCGAACGGGUGAGUAACGCGUAAUCAACCUGCCCUUCAGAGGGGGACAACAGUUGGAAACGACUGCUAAUACCGCAUACGAUCUAAUCUCGGCAUCGAGGAUAGAUGAAAGGUGGCCUCUACAUGUAAGCUAUCACUGAAGGAGGUGAUUGCGUCUGAUUAGCUAGUUGGAGGGGUAACGGCCCACCAAGGCGAUGAUCAGUAGCCGGUCUGAGAGGAUGAACGGCCACAUUGGGACUGAGACACGGCCCAGACUCCUACGGGAGGCAGCAGUGGGGAAUCUUCCGCAAUGGACGAAAGUCUGACGGAGCAACGCCGCGUGAGUGAUGACGGCCUUCGGGUUGUAAAGCUCUGUUAAUCGGGACGAAAGGCCUUCUUGCGAAUAGGGAGAAGGAUUGACGGUACCGGAAUAGAAAGCCACGGCUAACUACGUG
This 510-nucleotide ribosomal RNA is filed under the name uncultured bacterium. RNAcentral's name for it is "partial 16S ribosomal RNA". It matches the Rfam family "Bacterial small subunit ribosomal RNA", at positions 28 to 507 of the family's 1533-position model. The record is from RNAcentral.